This 283-nucleotide long non-coding RNA is filed under the name Lathyrus oleraceus (garden pea). Its description in RNAcentral is "Pisum sativum (pea) long non-coding RNA (PSAT_LNC015334)". The record is from RNAcentral. Lineage: Eukaryota; Viridiplantae; Streptophyta; Magnoliopsida; Fabales; Fabaceae.
UUUCCCAUUAUUUAUUAUUUAUGCUUGUUUUUCUUUUUCCUUUUGACUUUAUGGUUGCUUUUCCUUUCCUAACAUCUCUCGACCCGUGACUUAUUACUAUCUAUUCAUAUAUAUGUGUGUGUUACUAUUACUAUGUUUUUAUUUUAUUUUUACUUUACUUUACUUUUUUAUUUUUUCAUUUAUCAAGCUUAAUCAAAAUCAAAAGGCAUCAUGUUAUGGAAGCCUAUGUACACCCCCUUUGCAAAAUAAGGAAAAAGUUGUAGCCCAAGAAGCAAGAAACGAG